Molecule: long non-coding RNA, 1643 nt
Organism: Clupea harengus (Atlantic herring)
Lineage: Eukaryota; Metazoa; Chordata; Actinopteri; Clupeiformes; Clupeidae
Source: Ensembl
UCUGAAACAUCCAAUGUUAAAAAAAAUAAAUAAUAAUAAUUACAAGUAAGUCAUUUACAAAUAUUAUAAUUUUUCUAUCGUAUCUGAUACAUCAGGCCUUUAUGGCAAUUUAUUGAUCACAAAAACAAAUAUUGUUCAUUGCAUUUGUAACUAUCAUCAGUAAUUUGAAAAUCAUCAGUGCAUGAGAAGGAAACACCAGAGCUCUUUUUUCUACUUUACUUGGUCUACUCAAACCACCUGAUAUCCAUCUGAAUCUCUCUGAUGAACACCUUUUGGCCUUCCUAAAUGUUUUCAACUCUAAGAUUGAGACAAUUCAUGAACAUGAGCAAAAUGAACCAUGCUCCCUGAAUGCUCUGGCCCCACCACUAACUAAUGCAUUUUGUGAAUUCAGUCUCCCAGCAGAAAGUCACAUCUUGGAUCUUAUUGCUAAGUGCAAUUCCUCCACCUGUCAGCUGGAUCCUUAAUUAAAAAAAAUCAAGCUUAAUUAAGGCAUGCCAGCACUCUAUUGUCCCUCUGAUCACCUCAAUAAUUAAAUCCCCUUUUUGCGAGAAUUGGUAUUAUCUGCUUCUGAGCUCCCCCUAAAGUUGCGGAGUGUAGUUCACUUUUACACCACUGUCAUGAAAACAAAUGGCGCUUUGAGACCCCUAAUGGACAGUGGUACGCGUGUAUUUGUUGACAAGAUGAAGGAUAUGGACUGGCAAACGCCAGAAGCCUAAGAAGCAUGUCAGCUGACAAGUCAUCAUCAGCAGGUCUACUGGGACUACCAGUCAUUAAUCUCACCACAAUGGGUGCAUUGCCUUCUGCUAUGCUGCACCCAAACUCUGGAACUCACAUCUGCCUCACAUCCGCGCACUGGACUCCAUUACCCAAUUCAAAAGUGUUCUUACAACUCAUCUUUUUAGCAUACUCUCACUAACAUCAGGUACAUUUUCUUUUAUUGUGUUGUACAUCUUACUAUGUUUUUAUUGAUGACUGUUUCAUGUUUUUAUUGAUCGUAUGUGAUGUAAGGUGACCUUAAGUGUCAUUAAAUAAAAUCUAUUAUUAUUAUUAUUAUUAUUACUAUUAUUACUAUUAUUAUUUUGGAAUAUUUCAUGGGUUGGUUCUUUUUUUUCAAACAAAAAUUUUCAAAAAUGUAUUUGCUUAUUACAGUCCCCCUGUUAGGUGAAAUUCACCCUAGUUACCUCAGGACUCCGGAGCUGCAUAUAAGUAUAUUUAUUAGACAAACAACAACAAUUGCAAUCGGGCUCACUCCCAGCACAAGGCUGAAAGUGAAGCAAUGAUAAACACCGCACAACGUUUAUAUAGACAGAAGUUUAGCGUUCAGCAGGGAUAACCACGUGGUGGAUCUCUGACGUCCGAGGCUCCCUGUCUUGCGAGGAUGGCAGUUUUGCACAAGGUCGGAAGAAGCUUAUCACCUCUGGUCUAAACAUGCUCUUGUACAUAUGCAGACUAAGUGGCAACCUAAUAAUCUAAGGGACAAGGGAUCCUAAGUCCAUAUACUGAGAUUCGUUUCAUCAAAGAGUUGCUGAAAUAUGGUCUUUCUGUGAGCAUCAUGAAUUGUAAUACAAAGACAAUGGAGGGAUUUACAGAUAAAUUACAUACUUGAUAUAUCUACCGUAAAUACCUUCUGAAUCAUACAUUGA